GCACUACUGAGGAGUCCCGCAUUUGGACGAAACGGCCGUCCAGUAC
Non-coding RNA from Schistosoma margrebowiei, 46 nucleotides. Lineage: Eukaryota; Metazoa; Platyhelminthes; Trematoda; Strigeidida; Schistosomatidae. The record is from Rfam.